GACGAACGCUGGCGGCGUGCUUAACACAUGCAAGUCGAACGAAAAGAGGGAAAGAGCUUGCUCUUUCCGGAAUUGAGUGGCAAACGGGUGAGUAACACGUAAACAACCUGCCUUCAGGAUGGGGACAACAGACGGAAACGACUGCUAAUACCGAAUAAGUUCCAAGAGCCGCAUGGCCCAUGGAAGAAAAGGUGGCCUCUACCUGUAAGCUACCGCCUGAAGAGGGGUUUGCGUCUGAUUAGCUGGUUGGAGGGGUAACGGCCCACCAAGGCGACGAUCAGUAGCCGGUCUGAGAGGAUGAACGGCCACACUGGAACUGAGACACGGUCCAGACUCCUACGGGAGGCAGCAGUGGGGAAUCUUCCGCAAUGGGCGAAAGCCUGACGGAGCAACGCCGCGUGAGUGAUGACGGCCUUCGGGUUGUAAAACUCUGUGAUCCGGGACGAAAAGGCAGAGUGCGAAGAACAAACUGCAUUGACGGUACCGGAAAAGCAAGCCACGGCUAACUACGUG
RNAcentral lists this ribosomal RNA (513 nucleotides) under uncultured bacterium. RNAcentral's name for it is "partial 16S ribosomal RNA". It matches the Rfam family "Bacterial small subunit ribosomal RNA", at positions 28 to 507 of the family's 1533-position model. The record is from RNAcentral.